Molecule: long non-coding RNA, 4803 nt
Organism: Phocoena sinus (vaquita)
Lineage: Eukaryota; Metazoa; Chordata; Mammalia; Artiodactyla; Phocoenidae
Source: Ensembl
CAACCACCUGGUUUUUCAGAUAAUGAGGCUAGUGAUAACCAGUCUCCCACAAAGGGGGCUUCCUGCAAGGGUGAGAAGGAGCUGACAUCCGGCCACACUGCAUCACACAGCCGUGAGCCCUGGCCUAGGGCUACCUGUGCCUGAGACAAGGUCACCUUGUCCUACUAAGUGCAAAAGCGUCUUACUGGCUGUGGGUGCCUUUGACAGAAUUGGCUAACGUUUAUCUUCAUGCUGUCUCCUAACUGCUGCUUCCCUCUGCUACUAAAGCUGGCAUGCUUAGCUUUUAUCAGUUCUGCCUCUGGCCGGGUGGGACAGCUCUGUUUACUAUGUGUCAGACAGGCACUGACCACUCUACCAGCACAGACCUGUUGAAUGCUCAUAGGCGCUCCAUGAGGUGGAGACAGUUAUUAUUCCACUUUUACAGAUCCCGAAAGCAAAGCGCUGGAAGGCAGAGUGAGCCACUUCCCAGAUCACACCGUUGGAUGGUGAAUGUGCCUGGGGCUGAGAGCCAGUUUUGUCUGAAUACGAAGCUCAUUCUCUUUUCGUACCGAAGGGCUUUCCUCAUUCUGUUCCUUCUUUUCUUCAUUGCCAACUUCUUCUCUUCCCAGAAACCGAGUGCAUUUCGUGGUCCUUCCUUGUUCUGGGGCACAAGAACCUCCUUGGAGGUAUUUUAGGAAUUGGGUAUGGGAGUGGGUCAGGUGUGGUGUGGUCUGUGGCACGAUGGGGACACAGGGAAUGACCCAGCUGGCCUCUAGAGGUCCCUUCGCAUCAGAGGAUCAUAGAAUCUUCAUACAUUGUUCAAGUCAGAAUUUUAUCCAAAUGGGUGGUUCUUCUUCCACCCGUUUGCUUCAGAUAUCAGCAAUCUUGGACCCUCUCACAGGGAGUUAAUAAUUCCUCAGAAUCACCAUGUAUCUCUCUGGAGUGGGAUACUGCACACAUUGAGGUGGAAGCGCACUUCUCUGAGGCCCACAAGCCAGUCUCUCUGGUGACCCUAGCAGUGCGAGGCAGAGUAGGUGACACCUUCUUUGUUGCGCUAGGAAUAGGACCGUUGGCAUCUCUCCUGGGGAAGCCUGAACAAAUUAUAAUUAAUAUGAAUGGCACAUUUAUUCUCUUAAGUUCAAAGUCUCCACUGAUGGGUAAAAUGCAACUUUAUUUUUGCAUUUGAGAUCAUUUUGCUUCCUUGGGAGCAGGUUGAUGGGUUCCUGGUGUAAUAAAUAAAUAAUACCAUUAACAUCACACAGAUGGUCAAAUAAUAGUGUUAGGAAAUCAAGAAUUGGUUGGGUUUAGGAUGCAAUUUCAAAUUGCACUUGUGAGCCAAAGGCAGGGAGGAAGCAGUAGGAAUGUUUCACGUGAGUGCAAUUGAAGGAGACAAAGCUCUUCAACAAACCAGACCUUCCUAACUCAUAUUCCAGCGGGAGUGGUGUGCCAGAGAGAAAACGGACUGGAAGACAGGGUGCCGCUAACUCGGACUCGAGUACUUUCUCUGUGUUCUCUUGGGCAAGUUUUAAACAUUCUUCCAUGUAAAGAGGACAUUUACUACCUACCUCAAAGGAUCGUUUGGGGUUAAAAUGAAACGGUGUACACAAAGCUUAGUCUGUAAUUAUAUAAUUAGUCUCUCUCUUUCCAUGUGUACAGAUGUACACACAUGUGUAUACGUGUGUGUGUGCAUAUAGCCACGCAUUUAGCAGCUUUCCCUAUAACCUAUUGUAGCUUAAACACCCAUGUGGCAACACUUUGAUAGACGUACUGUGUCUGGCUUCUGGAAGGUCUAUGAGGAGAGGAAUGCCUCUCCAUCCAUGUCUAAUUAUACUUCUCUGUGUGUUUCUCCUACACAUAUGCUUAGAUCCUAGGAAUCUUCUUCUGUUCAAAUAAUUUCUUGAGCUAUUUUAUAUCAGAGAGGGAGUGAGGAGAAAGGUAUUCCUUUAUUUUUCAUCACAAGAUUGUUGCAUAGAAAGUUAUGACAGUUCAUGGCUCUGAAGAUGAAUUUCCUACGAGAUAAAGAACAACAACAACAAACAUAUGGAAGGUUCUAUGGAGCCAGGUUAUCUGACACAGAUAAUGGGGUCAGGAGUUCAUGCAUAGAUUUAGGACUUGUAGACCGUUUUUCCUUGGAAGACUGGUUCUUCCAUGACAAGUCCACUGGAGUCAGCUGGGAAAGCCAGGGUAGGGAUGCCAUCGACUGUUGGGGGUGGUUAAGCCCUUCCAGCUUUGCAGCCCUGUGAUUGCGUUUCCCCUCAUUCUCACCUGUUCACUGAGAGGCCAGCUCAGGACUUCCACAGCAAUGGUGACAAGAGAAAAGGGGGCCUCUCUGCAUUUGGUCAUUUUUCUCCCGUGCAGUUCUGGGGCAAGACCAGUGUGUCUGCCGUGAGAAACUGAUCUCGGAAUUUGCUGACGGAACUACAGGAGCAAUCCUUCUCCCUGCAGCCGUGUGCCGUGGGGCUUAAAGUAGUUUAAAUUAUAUAUAGCAGUCUCAGUUGUUCAUGAUCUGUUUUCCCCAGAUCUCAUUGAUUCACAUGGUUGAGUUAUUUGGGUUUAUUUGGGUGUAUUUGGCCAACUUGCUGCCUUGUCAGUGUGAGAUGUUUUGGCUUAGAAACCUUUUGAGAGGUUAGAUUUGUCUUAUACAAAGUACAUAUGAAUUAAUCUUACAAUCUUGCUGAUGGAUUUUUUAGAAUAAUAGAAUUUUUAAUGAAAACAGCAUCAACCACCAGGCUGAUGGAAAAUGACAAAACUGACAUCAACCUUCAGAUAAAGCUUUGCUGGCCGCAUAGAGGAAAGGAAGAUAUGUUUGUGUGAAAAUAAUUUCUUGAUCUUCUGUGGCUUUCAAACAGGCUAUAAAUGUAGUGGAUGAGGGGAAAAGUGCUCUUGCACUCAGAAUAAUCAUCUUUGGACACAUUUACUCGUCAGGAAAGCUCAAUCUAAAACAAUUCUAACUGGUCAGAACCCACGAGGAAGAAAGAAAAACUAUAUGCAAAUUAAUUUUUAUUUGGUGCACAAGUUAUACAUGAAAACUGGAAAAAGCAGUACUUCAGUGUUGUGAGUUGAAUUGGAUCACUCCCCUCCUGACCCGCACCCUCCCCCCCAAAAAAAGAAAAAGAUCUGUUGAAGUCCUCACAUCCAGUACCUCAGAAUGUGACGUUAUUUGGAAAUAGGUUCAUUGCAGAUGUAACUAGGUAUUCAGAUGCAUUCACACCGGAGUAGGGUGGGACCCCAAUGCAAUACAACUGGUGUCCUGAUAAGAAGAUGACCUGCGGAGACACAGUUGACACACAGGGAGAAAACCAUGUGAUGACAGAGACAUUCGAGCAAUGAGGCUGCAAGCCAAGGAGUGCCAGAGGUUGCCCAUGAAGCACCAGAGCUAGGAAGAUGCAGGGAGGGAUUCUCUCCUGCAGGUUUCAUAGGGAAUGUUCCCUGCAGCACCUUGAUUUCAGACUUCCGGCCCCCUGAAAUGUGAGACAGUACAUUUCUGUUGUUUCAAGCCAUGCAUAUUGUAAUGCUCUGUUGUAACAAACCCAGAAACUGAUACACAUGGGUGUUAUAAAGAGAUUGCUUAAAUAGUAUCUGUGUACGAUGCUCCUGGUAUGACUGUUCCUCCCCCAGUCAUCAGCUCCCAGACUCCUCACAGAUGUCUGGGAGGCUGACCCAGAGUAGGAAUGUAGUUAGAAUUGAUUACUCUCUUUUUCCUAAUAGACCAUCAGAACAAACGUUAUUGCAUCUUACUUUUCAGUUAUCUUAUUAGCCACCUCAGAAGUCAAAGAUCUACCAGACUGUGCAUCAUUUUUUGAUUCUUAUUGUCAUAGGGUCCUGUACAAUCGAUAAUCUGACCCAGUUGCAAAACUCUCUGUAAUCUUCUGAAACUUUUUAUUACCCUCUGGCCUCUAUGACCUGUCACCAGCGAAAUCCCUGUGUCCCCUCUCUCCUCUCUGAAUGUUCCCCUCAGCUUUUGCUUAAUCUGAGACUUGGCUGUUCCCUGGAUCAUUUCCACUCCUAGAGUCCGAUCAGCGGUGGCUGUCUCUCUCCUGUAUCCUUGUUGCCAUGAGGCCUGAGAGCUGGAGAGAUGUUCUCCUCAUUACUUACUGUGGCUUCAGGACAUUUCCUUUCCCAUCUCUCAGAAUCCCCAGUUACGUUGAAUCACACACCGUGUACCCCCAGCCCUUUCCUGCGGCAGUUUUCUACUCUCUAUCCUGACCAGUCUCCUUCACUCUGGAGCUCCAGGCUGUACAUCCUAGUAUGAAUCUUCAAAUCCACUUUUAUGACUCACGUGUUUCAAGCUCUGCCUCCCAAGCGGUGUUCUUGAUACCACCUCCAUGUAACCCAUUGCCAGCCACCACCAACUUGAUUCCCUCCAUCUGUCCCCAUCUUGGGCAUAGACACCACCAUUCAUCCAGCUACUCUGUCCAAAAGCCUCAUAGAUAUAUUUUUUCUUUGUCUCUUAUGCGACAUCUAGUCCAUCAAUAAAUCCUGUAGUGUCUUUACUUUUAAGAUAGACCCUGGGACUUACCUUGUGGCUCAGUGCUUAAGAAUCCACCUGCCAAUGCAGGGGACACAGGUUCGUGCUCUGGUCUGGGAAAAUCCCACAUGCCGCGGAGCAACUAAGCCCGUGCGCCACAACUAAUGAGCCUGCGCUCAAGAGUACGCAGCCACAACUGCUGAGCCCGCGAGCCACAACGGCUGAAGCCCGCAUGCCUAGAGUCCAUGGUCCGCAGCAAGAGAAGCCACCGCAACGAGAAGCCCGCGCGUCACAACUAGAGAAAGCCCGCGCGCAGCAGGGAAGACCCGAAGCCGCCAAAAAUAAAUAAAUUUAUU